AUUGAACGCUGGCGGCAUGCUUUACACAUGCAGGUCGAACGGCAGCAUGAUCUAGCUUGCUAGAUUGAUGGCGAGUGGCGAACGGGUGAGUAAUACAUCGGAACGUGCCCUGUAGUGGGGGAUAACUAGUCGAAAGAUUAGCUAAUACCGCAUACGACCUGAGGGUGAAAGUGGGGGACCGCAAGGCCUCAUGCUAUAGGAGCGGCCGAUGUCUGAUUAGCUAGUUGGUGAGGUAAAGGCUCACCAAGGCGACGAUCAGUAGCUGGUCUGAGAGGACGAUCAGCCACACUGGGACUGAGACACGGCCCAGACUCCUACGGGAGGCAGCAGUGGGGAAUUUUGGACAAAGGGCGAAAGCCUGAUCCAGCAAUGCCGCGUGUGUGAAGAAGGCCUUCGGGUUGUAAAGCACUUUUGUCCGGAAAGAAAUGGCUCUGGUUAAUACCUGGGGUCGAUGACGGUACCGGAAGAAUAAGGACCGGCUAACUACGUG
Molecule: ribosomal RNA, 490 nt
Filed under: uncultured bacterium
Lineage: Bacteria
Description: partial 16S ribosomal RNA
Rfam family: Bacterial small subunit ribosomal RNA
Source: RNAcentral